RNAcentral lists this long non-coding RNA (3723 nucleotides) under Homo sapiens (human). RNAcentral describes it as "HSALNT0234161". The record is from RNAcentral. Lineage: Eukaryota; Metazoa; Chordata; Mammalia; Primates; Hominidae.
AAAAAACACAAUUUAUUUCUCAAUGUUCUGGAGGCUGGGAAGUCCAAGAUCAAGGCAGACUGACCUUUUUAUAACCAUUUUAGAGACUCAUUUUCCCAAUUAACCAUUUAUAAAAUAUAAUUUCUGGAAUUAAAUAGACACAUUGUCUUAGUCCAUUUGGGCAGCUAUAACAAAAUACCAUAGACUGGGUAAACUGUAAACAACAUCAUUUAUUUCUCAAAGUUCGGGAGGCUGGGAAGUCCAAGAUCAAGGCAGAUUGUACUGGGGAGGGCUCAUUUUCUGGUUCACAGAUGACACCUUCUCUCUGCAUCCUGGAAUGAUGGAGAGGCAAGACAGCUCUCUGGGGGGCCUCCUUUAUAAGCGCACUCAUCCCAUUCAUGAGGGCUCUACCCUGGUGACCUAAUCAUCUCCCAAAGGUGCCUCUCUUAAAACCAUCACACUGGUGCUUAGGGUUCAAUGUAAAAAUUUGCAGAGGGGAAACAAACAUUCAGACCUCAGCACACAUCAAAGUGAAAAUGACAGCAAUCAAGUAAGAAUGGGUAACGGAAUCAUAAGUAAUUACAUUUCCUUUGUCUUUUUCUGUGUUUUUUUAAAGUUUCUCUAUUGAGUACACACUUAUUUUGAAAUUAAAGUGCUAUUUUGAAAUAAUUUUUAAAAUACUCUCAGAAAAAAACUGAAAACAGCAUUAACAGGAAAUAUAGAAAUGAAAUACACAUGGGCAAUGAACUUACGAAAUAGGCUAUUCAAACACACUUGUAAUAAAAGAAAUUCAGUAUAAAACAACACUGAAAUGUCAUUUUAAUCAAUUAUUUUUAAAAAUUAUUUCAAUAUAUAGUGUUGCUAAGGAUGUAGAGAAAAUGGCUCAUAUACAAUUUUGGAAGGAAGCUAAAUUACUGCUUUCUUUUCUGAAAGGAAAUUUGGAAUUGUUUAUCAUACUCCUUGAAAUAUUCCUACUCUAGGGCCCAGUAACUUAACUUCCACAAAAUAGUCUAACUAAAAAUAUCAGAUAUGUGCAUAAUGACUUAUGUUUUAAAGUAUUUAUUAUAGUUAUUUUUAAUACCAAAAAACAUCAAAACUCAAGUGUUCAAAACUAAAGGUUAAUAUUCUGCAGGCAAUUAAAAUCAUGACCUUUAAGAAAAAUAGUUAAUGACAUGGUGGUAAAGUUCCUUAUAUCUUGUUGAGUAGAAAUAGCAGAUUACAAAGCAGUAUGUCUAGUAUCACCACAGUUUUAUUUAUAGAAUUGUGUGCAUAUGUGUAAAGAUGUUAGCAGUGAUUGAGUCUAGAAAGAGAUUUGGGUUUUCUACCCUAGACAUUGUUGAAUUUUCCAAAUGUUCUGCAACGAACCUUUAAUACAUACACACUUAAAACAUAGAUAUAUUUAUAGCAUUCGAACAUAAUGUUAUUUAAACAUAUAAAAACAAUGUUUUUUAAUUUUUUUUUCUAGACAGAGUCUUGAUCUGUCUUAUUCCACCCUGACAUGCUAAGCAUUUGGUUGUUUUUGUUUUUGUUUUUUUAUCUCUGGAAAAAAGUUUAUUUUAUUGAUCUAAAUUAACAGUAUAGCUAAAAAUACAUAUUAAGAAGAAGAAUAUUUUUCUCUUAAGAGUGAAUUAUUACACUUUUCUGAAUGUAUAAUUAUCUACAAAGCUGUAAUUUCAAUAUUCUUUAGCACAAGGUAAGUGGGAAAAUAAGGAAUUUAAUCUGAGAAAAGACACACCUACUAAAUAAUAAGAAAGUCAGGAACAGCCUACCUCUAAAGAUAAGCUACUCCAAAAUCUAGAAGAAAAAUUUCAAAACCUAGCUGAGAUUCUCAAAAAAGAACAAAAAAUAAUAAGCUUUUCUAAUACUAGAGAGUCAUAAGAUUGAGAUGAAUAGGCAACAGAAAGAUUUUUUUUUUAAUGUGAAUGACAGAAAAGAUUUCAAGGAAACUUUAAAUGCUGUAGUAAAAUUAAAAUCAACAUUGUAAGGCUGGGCGUGGUGGUUUACACCUGUAAUCCCAGCACUUUGGGAGGCCAAGACAGGCAGAUUGCUUGAGGCCAGAAAUUCAAGACCAGCCUGGCAAACAUGGUGAAACCCCGUCUCUACUAAAAACAAAAAAACUAGCCAGGCAUGGUGGUGCAUACCUGUAACCCCAGCUACUCAGGAGGCUGAGGCAGAAGAAUCACUUUAAUCUGGGAGACAGAGGUUGCAGUGAGCUGAAAUUGUGCCACUGCACUCUGGCUUGGGAGACAGAGUGAGACCCUGUCUCAAAAAAAAAAAAACAAAAAAACCAACAUUGUAGACAAUUGACAGUACAUGACGUGGACAGUAAACUUCAGAAUACUCCCUUUCCCCUUGCCCCUCAGAAUUUAGCAUAAAAAGACAAAGAUUUUAAGAUGAAGAAGGAAGGUAUGAUAAUUAUGGAAAAUGGAGAUUAGAGAACAAAGAUAAGAUAAAAAUUAUGACUAAAGAGAAAAAAUACAACAAAAGCAAAAUCUGAAGAUAUCAUAAAGAAAGUGGUGAGCUAAAGUUUUAACAGUUUAAACCUGUAACCAUUUUAUACAAAGAAAGUAGUCAUUUACAUGUAUAGACAACACAAUAACAUUCUCAUAUUAACAAGAACUCAGAAAAUAUACUUUUCAUGUGCCCUUCUUGAAAAAGAACCUGCCUGAUUGUAUGAUCUAAUCAAAAUUUAAAUCUUAGGAAUGGGUCGGCAAUAAAUACUGAAACUGGUAAAAAUACUUCAGUCAUUUUAAAUCUAGUUUUCUGUUUGUUUGUUAGCAUGAGACAGUCUCACUCUGUCAUCUAGGCUGGAGUGCAGUGGCACGAUCUCAGCUCACUGCAAUCUCCACCUUCCAGGUUCAAGCAAUUCUCCUGCCUCAGCCUCCCGAGUAGCAGGGAUUACAGGUGCCCGCCACUGUGCCUGGCCUAAGUCUAGUUUUAAAAUGGAAAGGGGAAAGUAACGAUGUAAUAAUAAUUUGGUACCAAGAUCUGUGAAGAAGGAGGAAGUGAAUUAUACUAAAUACUUUCUCUCACAUAGAAGACAGAGCAUUGGGAGCCCAAACAUAACUGCUUUGCUCCUGAUCUUAGAAACAAAUUUAAAACACCAAAGAUAAUUCAUUACUAGAACUUACGUGCUAUAUUAGCCUCUAAAACACCGACAAAUAUAACAGUUAAGUCAUUAUACUCUACACAGCUUAAGGUAGAAAAUAAAGGAGACAGCAAGAAGUUAACAAAAAACAUGAGUUAAGAUAGCAGGGGCAAUAUCUAUCAUAAGGACCAAGGUGAAUGGGAUAAAUGCCCAGAGAGAGGCAAAGAUUCUUAAAUUAGGCCCCCAAAUUAUGAUGGGUCAGAAACAACAUGUUUUUCACAAAAUACAAAUACAAAAGUGAUUAUAACAUGUUUAAAAAACAAGAAAUGUAAGAGACAUGGUACAAAUGUAAAAUGAAUAUUAGAUUAAAAAAAAUCUAGACAAAAACACUAAAUGGAACAAAGGGGGACAUUUUACAAGAAUAAGAGUCAUAAUUCAAAAUAAGGAUACGACGCACUAUUCAGCAAAUACUUAUCAAUGCUCACAGCUUUUCAAAAAAAAUCAUGUAAAACAUCUAAUGCUAACUGCUACUAAAAGUUAAAGUAAGAUAAAUAACUUUUUUGGGUUGUUCUAUUCCUCAGAAUAUUCCAUUUAAAUACAUUUUUUAAUGUUAGCAAUACAAAGAAAAACUGACAAAAACUGUAAUUUGGAAAAAC